CAGAAGCUCUCAAGCGAGCCCUGAAAUCAGAGGGCAACGAUCUUUCCGGGGCGGAGAGUGCAAGGAUUCGAUAGACAAAUUGACUAUCUUACCCUUUAAACGAAGUGAGCAAGUAUCUUAUAAACCAUUACCUUCUUUUUUCCUACUCUCCUCACUCCACUCUCCUCUGCACCUAAAAACCUAAUAAUUCAGAUUUAGGUAUAAACCUACCACCAAUGGCUCCUUCUUUUGUAAUCAACGGCGGUGUACCCACCGUCAAAUCCUCUUCGGCCACUGGCCGUGUCUCUACUUUUUACAGUGAUGUGCAAACGAGUCGCAUCGACCAUGCUCUUCCUCUCCCUUCUGUCCUCAAAAACCCCUUCAAAGUCGUCGAAGGCCCCCCGAGUUCCGCCGCUGGCAAUCCAGAUGAGAUCGCGAAGCUAUUUCCAAAUCUAUUUGGACAGCCGUCGUCAAUGUUGGUGCCAAAUGGGGCUGAUGCAGUGCUUUCCGAUCAGAAGCUCAAGAUUGGUGUUGUUUUGUCUGGAGGUCAGGCACCUGGGGGACACAAUGUGAUCUGUGGAAUUUUUGAUUACUUGCAGGACCGUGCUAAGGAAAGCAUAUUAUACGGCUUUAGAGGUGGUCCUGCUGGGAUCAUGAAGUGCAAAUAUGUAGAAUUAACGGCUGAUUUUAUUUAUCCCUAUAGAAAUCAGGGUGGUUUUGAUAUGAUCUGCAGUGGUAGGGACAAAAUUGAAACACCCGAGCAGUUCAAACAAGCUGAAGAGACGGCAUUGAAACUUGAUUUGGAUGGGCUUGUUGUUAUUGGUGGGGAUGACUCAAACACCAAUGCUUGCCUUCUUGCUGAAAACUUCAGGAGUAAAAAUAUGAAAACUACGGUCAUUGGAUGCCCAAAGACCAUUGAUGGUGAUCUGAAAUGCAAAGAGGUCCCAACCAGUUUUGGAUUUGAUACUGCAUGCAAGAUAUAUUCAGAAAUGAUUGGAAAUGUCAUGAUUGAUGCUCGAUCAACUGGAAAAUAUUAUCACUUUGUACGGCUUAUGGGGCGUGCAGCUUCACAUAUUACCUUAGAGUGUGCUUUGCAAACUCAUCCAAAUAUUACAAUCAUUGGAGAAGAGGUUGCUGCAAAGAAGCUGACACUGAAAAAUGUUACUGAAUAUGUUGUAGAUAUAAUCUGUAAACGGUCUGAUGUGGGUUAUAACUAUGGUGUGAUCCUCAUUCCUGAAGGUUUAAUUGAUUUCAUUCCUGAGGUGCAGCAUCUCAUUGCAGAACUAAAUGAAAUUUUGGCCCAUGACGUUGUUGACGAAGGUGGGCUAUGGAAAAAGAAACUUACAAGUCAAUCUCUGCAGCUUUUUGAAUUUUUGCCACAAGCAAUUCAGGAACAAUUGAUGCUGGAAAGAGAUCCACAUGGAAAUGUCCAGGUUGCCAAAAUAGAGACAGAGAAAAUGCUUAUUCAAAUGGUUGAAACCGAGUUGGAGAAGAGAAAGCAACAAGGCUCAUACAAAGGCCAAUUCAAAGGACAGUCCCACUUCUUUGGUUAUGAAGGAAGAUGUGGUUUGCCAACAAACUUUGAUGCUACAUAUUGCUAUGCUUUGGGCUUUGGAGCUGGCGCUCUCCUUCACAGUGGAAAAACUGGGUUGAUAUCAUCAGUUGGAAAUUUGGCUGCACCUGUGGCGGAAUGGACCGUUGGUGGCACUGCACUGACUUCUAUGAUGGACGUGGAGAGGAGACACGUGCACGUAAAUUCAAGCCUGUGAUUAAGAAGGCAAUGGUGGAGCUUGAAGGUGCACCAUUCAAAAACUUUGCUUCCAUGCGGGAUGAGUGGGCACUCAAGAAUCGAUACAUCAGUCCUGGUCCUAUCCAAUUUAUGGGCCCAGGAUCUGAUGCCGUUAGCCACACCUUGUUGUUGGAAUUGGGAGUUCAUGCCUAGGCGUAGUGAUGGAAUUUUGGCAUGCUCUUCCAGUGCAUAUCUUCUUUUUGUUGCUUUUUCUUUCCCCCUCUUUUCCUUUCCUCAUUUCCGGUUAUUAUUGCUGCUUCUGAGUGUAGGAUUCUAGCAUUUGCAUUUCAUUUUUAUUUAGCUCUACAUCCAACAGUGGACGUUGUAUAUUGAAGUUUCUAAUCCAAGUCCUUUGUAUUAAUAAGUACAAAAAUGCAACUACAAUCUAUAGACCAUUUUCUUUGUUGAAA
Manihot esculenta (cassava) is the source of this 2178-nucleotide RNA transcript. It is a transcript of the gene named pyrophosphate--fructose 6-phosphate 1-phosphotransferase subunit beta, with no coding region annotated. The record is from RefSeq and is a predicted model, not a curated record. NCBI's taxonomy places the organism in Eukaryota, Viridiplantae, Streptophyta, Magnoliopsida, Malpighiales, Euphorbiaceae. The transcript is spliced from 17 exons.